UACGUAGGGUGCAAGCGUUGUCCGGAAUUAUUGGGCGUAAAGGGCUCGUAGGCGGUCCAUCGCGUCGGGAGUGAAAAGCUGGGGCUUAACCCCAGUCCUGCUUCCGAUACGGGUGGACUAGAGGUAGGUAGGGGAGAUCGGAAUUCCUGGUGUAGCGGUGAAAUGCGCAGAUAUCAGGAGGAACACCGGUGGCGAAGGCGGAUCUCUGGGCCUUAACUGACGCUGAGGAGCGAAAGCAUGGGGAGCGAACAGG
RNAcentral lists this ribosomal RNA (253 nucleotides) under uncultured bacterium. RNAcentral's name for it is "partial 16S ribosomal RNA". It matches the Rfam family "Bacterial small subunit ribosomal RNA", at positions 524 to 776 of the family's 1533-position model. The record is from RNAcentral.